UGGGAAUAGCAAGAUGAUUUCGGAGUCCGAGGUCGGACCGGAACGGGAACCCGCGCGCGUGCGUACCUGGUGACUCCCGCCUGAAUAUAUAGGCGGGUAGAGGGAACGUGGGGAAGUGAAACAUCUCAGUACCCACAGGAAGAGAAAGCAACAGCGAUUCCGUGAGUAGUGGCGAGCGAAAUCGGAAGAGGCUAAACCUAGCGUGUGUGAUAGCCGGCAGGCGUUGCAUGUUGGGGGUUGUGGGACUUUUCGGAUUGUUCUGCCGAGCAGUCGACGUGACAAGAGGGUAUAGACGAACGGUUUUGAAUGGCCGGUCAUAGAGGGUGCGAACCCCGUAGUCGAAAUGCUUGUUCUUGGCGUGAAGAGUAUCCCAAGUAGCACGGGGCCCGAGAAAUCCCGUGUGAAUCUGUCAGGACCACCUGAUAAGCCUAAAUACUCCCAGAUGACCGAUAGCGGACAAGUACCGUGAGGGAAAGGUGAAAAGUACCCCGGGAGGGGAGUGAAAUAGUACCUGAAACCGUUUGCUUACAAACCGUUGGAGCCUCCUUAGUAGGGGUGACAGCGUGCCUUUUGAAGAAUGAGCCUGCGAGUUAGCGAUACGUGGCGAGGUUAACCCGUGUGGGGUAGCCGUAGCGAAAGCGAGUCUGAAUAGGGCGAUUCAGUCGCGUGUCCUAGACCCGAAGCGAAGUGAUCUAUCCAUGGCCAGGUUGAAGCGACGGUAAGACGUCGUGGAGGACCGAACCCACUUAGGUUGAAAACUGAGGGGAUGAGCUGUGGAUAGGGGUGAAAGGCCAAUCAAACUUCGUGAUAGCUGGUUCUCUCCGAAAUGCAUUUAGGUGCAGCGUUGCGUGUUUCUUGCCGGAGGUAGAGCUACUGGAUGGCCGAUGGGCCCUACAAGGUUACUGACGUCAGCCAAACUCCGAAUGCCGGUAAGUGAGAGCGCAGCAGUGAGACUGUGGGGGAUAAGCUUCAUAGUCGAGAGGGAAACAACCCAGACCACCAACUAAGGUCCCUAAGCGCGUGCUAAGUGGGAAAGGAUGUGGAGUUGCUUUGACAACCAGGAGGUUGGCUUAGAAGCAGCCACCCUUGAAAGAGUGCGUAAUAGCUCACUGGUCAAGUGAUUCCGCGCCGACAAUGUAACGGGGCUCAAGCACGCCACCGAAGUUGUGGCAUUGACAUUUUUGGUAGGCCUUCGUGGUCCAGCCGUGUUGAUGGGUAGGAGAGCGUCGUGUGGCGAGUGAAGCGGCGGGGUGACCCAGCCGUGGACGCUACACGAGUGAGAAUGCAGGCAUGAGUAGCGAAAGACGUGUGAGAAACACGUCCUCCGAAAGACCAAGGGUUCCAGGGUCAAGCUAAUCUUCCCUGGGUAAGUCGGGACCUAAGGCGAGGCCGACAGGCGUAGUCGAUGGACAACGGGUUGAUAUUCCCGUACCGGCGAAGAACCGCCCAAGCUAAUCCAGUGGUGCUAAGAGUCCUAGCUCGGAAUGUUCCGGAUCCCUUCGGGGUGAUGGUCGUCCGUGUGAACGCUCGACCCCAUGCUGGUGCGGCUAGCGUAUUAACAGGUGUGACGCAGGAAGGUAGCCCAAGCCAGGCGAUGGUUGUCCUGGUGCAAGUGCGUAGGCCGACUCUUAGGCAAAUCCGGGAGUCAUGCAGGCUGAGACACGAUGCGGAUAAAAAGUGGGUGAUCCUAUGCUGCCGAGAAAAGCAUCGACGCGAGGUUCUAGCUGCCCGUACCCCAAACCGACUCAGGUGGUCAGGUAGAGAAUACCAAGGAGAUCGAGAGAAUCGUGGUUAAGGAACUCGGCAAAAUGCCCCCGUAACUUCGGGAGAAGGGGGGCCAUCCACUUACUAGGACUUGCUCCGAAAGGGUGUGGUGGCCGCAGAGACUAGUGGGUAGCGACUGUUUACUAAAAACACAGGUCCGUGCCAAGUCGCAAGACGAUGUAUACGGACUGACGCCUGCCCGGUGCUGGAAGGUUAAGAGGACCGGUUAGCCGCAAGGCGAAGCUGAGAAUUUAAGCCCCAGUAAACGGCGGUGGUAACUAUAACCAUCCUAAGGUAGCGAAAUUCCUUGUCGGGUAAGUUCCGACCUGCACGAAUGGCGUAACGACUUCCCAACUGUCUCAACCGCGAACUCGGCGAAAUUGCAUUACGAGUAAAGAUGCUCGUUACGCGCAGCAGGACGGAAAGACCCCGUGACCUUUACUACAGCUUGGUAUUGGUGUUCGGUGCGGCUUGUGUAGGAUA
Non-coding RNA from Microbacterium sp., 2247 nucleotides. The record is from Rfam. Lineage: Bacteria; Bacillati; Actinomycetota; Actinomycetes; Micrococcales; Microbacteriaceae.